This 378-nucleotide ribosomal RNA is filed under the name uncultured bacterium. Its description in RNAcentral is "bacterial SSU rRNA". It matches the Rfam family "Bacterial small subunit ribosomal RNA", at positions 29 to 396 of the family's 1533-position model. The record is from RNAcentral.
AACGAACGCUGGCGGCGCGCUUAAUACAUGCAAGUCGAACGAGAAGGUGUAGCAAUACACUUGUAAAGUGGCGAACGGGUGAGGAAUACAUGGGUAACCUACCCUCGAGUGGGGAACAACCAGCCGAAAGGUUGGCUAAUACCGCGUACGCUUCCGGGUCUUCGGAUUCGGAAGGAAAGUCAUACCGUGGGUAUGACGCUCAAGGAUGGGCUCAUGUCCUAUCAGCUUGUUGGUAGGGGUAACGGCCUACCAAGGCUCCGACGGGUAGCUGGUCUGAGAGGACGAUCAGCCACACUGGCACUGCGACACGGGCCAGACUCCUACGGGAGGCAGCAGUAAGGAAUAUUGCGCAAUGGGCGAAAGCCUGACGCAGCGACG